AAAACAGUGGCCUACUGGUUAGGGCUUUGGGCUUGAAACCGAAGAGUUGCCGGUUCGAUCCCCGGCCAGUAGGA
Molecule: transfer RNA, 74 nt
Filed under: Alosa alosa (allis shad)
Lineage: Eukaryota; Metazoa; Chordata; Actinopteri; Clupeiformes; Clupeidae
Description: tRNA-OTHER
Rfam family: tRNA (bases 7-67)
About the family: Transfer RNA (tRNA) molecules are approximately 80 nucleotides in length.
Source: RNAcentral